Molecule: ribosomal RNA, 253 nt
Filed under: uncultured bacterium
Lineage: Bacteria
Description: partial 16S ribosomal RNA
Rfam family: Bacterial small subunit ribosomal RNA
Source: RNAcentral
UACGUAGGCAGCAAGCGUUGUUCGGAGUUACUGGGCGUAAAGGGUGUGUAGGCGGUUGUUUAAGUUUGGUGUGAAAUCUCCCGGCUCAACUGGGAGGGUGCGCCGAAUACUGAAUGACUAGAGUGCGGGAGAGGAAAGUGGAAUUCCUGGUGUAGCGGUGAAAUGCGCAGAUAUCAGGAAGAACACCCGUGGCGAAAGCGGCUCUCUGGAACGGUACUGACGCUGAGACGCGAAAGCGUGGGGAGCGAACAGG